UACCAACCCUCCGAGUGGUAGGGAUGAUUACUUGGCUUAAAGCGUCCGUAGCUGGCUUGAAAAGUCUUCCGUUAAAUCCAGCGUCUAAGCGUUGGAAAGCGGAAGAUACUAUUAAGCUAGGAGGCGGAAGAGGCCGACGGUAUUUCUAGGGGAGGGGUGAAAUCCUAUAAUCCUAGGAGGACCACCAGUGGCGAAGGCGGUCGGCCAGAACGCACUCGACGAUGAGGGACGAAAGCUGGGGGAGCGAACCGGAUUAGAUACCCGGGUAGUCCCAGCAGUAAACUAUGCAGGCUAGGUGUUGGGGCGGCUACGAGCCGCUUCAGUGCCGCAGGAAACCGUUAAGCUUGCCGCCUGGGGAGUACGACCGCAAGGUUGAAACUUAAAGGAAUUGGGCGGGGGAGCACUACAAGGGGUGAAGGCUGCGGUUU
Molecule: ribosomal RNA, 428 nt
Filed under: uncultured archaeon
Lineage: Archaea
Description: bacterial SSU rRNA
Rfam family: Archaeal small subunit ribosomal RNA
Source: RNAcentral